GGCCUUCUAGCUCAGUUGGUUAGAGCGUGGUGCUAAUAACGCCAAGGUCAUCAAGUUCGAUCCUGAUGAGGGCCA
This 75-nucleotide transfer RNA is filed under the name Pleodorina starrii. RNAcentral's name for it is "tRNA-Ile". The record is from RNAcentral. Lineage: Eukaryota; Viridiplantae; Chlorophyta; Chlorophyceae; Chlamydomonadales; Volvocaceae.